GCAGUAUACAUGAACCUUGCUUGGGGAAGAAAGCAAUGUAUAGCUGAAGGCCAAGGACUAGGAAGUGAGUGUACAUAGUCCUCUAACACCAUGUCAGAGAUAAUAUGGAAAAUUAAAAUGGAGAGGAUGCCCAAUAGCACAUAUUGAUUGGACCACCACAAAUGAGGCUCUAGCCUUGAGAAGGUGAAACAUGCAGAGACCAAGAUUGUUGUACAAAAAGCUUGAUUGGGCUUGGAGAUCUUUCAGAAAUGCUCCCUUCUAUCACCAUGAACAUCCAUUGGUCUAAGCCUCUGUAUCACUAC
Molecule: long non-coding RNA, 302 nt
Organism: Protobothrops mucrosquamatus (brown spotted pit viper)
Lineage: Eukaryota; Metazoa; Chordata; Lepidosauria; Squamata; Viperidae
Exons: 3
Source: RefSeq, a predicted model, not a curated record